Long non-coding RNA from Humulus lupulus (European hop), 645 nucleotides. RefSeq lists it as uncharacterized. Lineage: Eukaryota; Viridiplantae; Streptophyta; Magnoliopsida; Rosales; Cannabaceae. The transcript is spliced from 4 exons. The record is from RefSeq and is a predicted model, not a curated record.
CCUAGAGAGAGGGAGAGAGAGAGAGAUGUGUGUUCUAGAGAGAGAAUGAGAGAAAGAGGAGAAGAAGGAGAAAAAGAAUAAGAAGAAUGGAUCAAUCCUAGGACUUGAACAAAGGGUGAUAUAGUUGAGUAUUGGUCACUUGGGUGUUCUUGAUUUUACAAUCAAGAGAGCAUGAUGAAUGCGACACAACAAAGGGGUUGCUAAGGAUAUGAAGACGUAACCCGAGUUACUAAGGAUGUGAAGGCAUAACUCAUAGGGCGGACGCGUCGAGGUUAUUCAAGGACAAGAGAUCCUGUUUACCUCAAGAUGUGACAUGGACAAGAUAGCGAGCAUGUUCUCAAGUAUAUAAUGAUGGUAGUAAAUAGGAUUUCUCUGUGGCACGCGUGGUGAUGUGGGAAGUUCCAACGUCGGGGUGUGUAUGGCGUGGGGGCAUCCUAUGGACGAGAAACAAUCAAUUUAAACGCCAUUUUCUACAAAAUAAUGUUAUGUUUAUUUUUAACUUUCAUAAGUUAUCACUGGGACUUGAACUUUUAUUAUUUUUGAAACGUUGCAUAAAAACUAUUAUUUUCUUUUUAAACUAUUGAGCCCAACUUGCAUGUUUUCAGCAAGGCCCCACAGAGACUUUUAUAAUAAGUGGCUUUUCUU